GUUGGAAUGGCUGGGAUUAAAUGGCAUUGAGAUAUGUGUAGUAAAUCUUAAGCUAACAUCAAAAUAAUAAUAAUCAUUGUAAUUGAAUAGAAUCCUUAUGGUCAUAACAUUUUUGGAUGUGUCCACACUAACUCCAAAUCCAUUAUAAUUGAAAUAGAAUCUUUCCCAGCAUGUGGACGAUGGUUGUCGAAACCCGAAGGGAGUUGCAG
This 209-nucleotide long non-coding RNA is filed under the name Elaeis guineensis (African oil palm). RNAcentral describes it as "long non-coding RNA (EGUI_LNC010943)". The record is from RNAcentral. Lineage: Eukaryota; Viridiplantae; Streptophyta; Magnoliopsida; Arecales; Arecaceae.